Choloepus didactylus (southern two-toed sloth) is the source of this 158-nucleotide small nuclear RNA. RefSeq annotates it as U1 spliceosomal RNA. The transcript has a single exon. NCBI's taxonomy places the organism in Eukaryota, Metazoa, Chordata, Mammalia, Pilosa, Megalonychidae. The record is from RefSeq and is a predicted model, not a curated record.
AUAAGCAGGGUAGAUACCACGAUCACAAAGGUGAUUUUCCCAGGGGGAGGCUGGUCCAUUGUACUCUGGGGUCUCCUGACCCCUGCGAUUUCCCCACAUGCGGGAAACUCGACUGCAUAAUUUGUGUUGAUGGGGGGUUGCGUGCGUGCUUUCCCCCA